AACGAACGCUGGCGGCAUGCCUAACACAUGCAAGUCGAACGAGACCUUCGGGUCUAGUGGCGCACGGGUGCGUAACGCGUGGGAACCUGCCCUUAGGUUCGGAAUAACUCCCCGAAAGGGGUGCUAAUACCGGAUAAUGUCUUCGGACCAAAGAUUUAUCGCCUUUGGAUGGGCCCGCGUUGGAUUAGCUAGUUGGUAGGGUAAAAGCCUACCAAGGCGACGAUCCAUAGCUGGUCUGAGAGGAUGAUCAGCCACACUGGGACUGAGACACGGCCCAGACUCCUUCGGGAGGCAGCAGUGGGGAAUAUUGGACAAUGGGCGAAAGCCUGAUCCAGCAAUGCCGCGUGAGUGAUGAAGGCCUUAGGGUUGUAAAGCUCUUUUACCCGGGAUGAUAAUGACAGUACCGGGAGAAUAAGCUCCGGCUAACUCCGUGC
RNAcentral lists this ribosomal RNA (434 nucleotides) under uncultured bacterium. Its description in RNAcentral is "partial 16S ribosomal RNA". It matches the Rfam family "Bacterial small subunit ribosomal RNA", at positions 29 to 508 of the family's 1533-position model. The record is from RNAcentral.